Molecule: ribosomal RNA, 874 nt
Filed under: Agalychnis callidryas (red-eyed leaf frog)
Lineage: Eukaryota; Metazoa; Chordata; Amphibia; Anura; Hylidae
Description: partial 16S ribosomal RNA
Rfam family: Bacterial large subunit ribosomal RNA
Source: RNAcentral
GCUUAAUUACUGCGAUAUUAAAUUCCAUUAAUUUUCAAAAACCCUUAAUUUCUAUUAAGUAAUUCUAUAAUAUUAUAGAAGAUAUUAUGUUAAAACUAGUAACAAGAAUUAAACCUUCUCUUAAAUAUAAGUGUAAAUCAGAACGGAUUCCCCGCUGACUACUAACAUCUUUGAGCAUAAAGUAAUAACCAAUCAAGAAAAACUUACUUCAUAAUAUGUUAACCUAACACAAGAGUAUUACAAGACGAUUGAAAGAAAAAGAAGGAACUCGGCAAACAAUAACCUCGCCUGUUUACCAAAAACAUCGCCUUCUGACUAACCUAUAGAAGGUCCAGCCUGCCCAGUGACUCUGUUCAACGGCCGCGGUAUCCUAACCGUGCGAAGGUAGCGUAAUCACUUGUUCUUUAAAUGAGGACUAGUAUGAAUGGCAUCACGAAGGUUAUACUGUCUCCUUUUUCUAAUCAGUGAAACUAAUCUUCCCGUGAAGAAGCGGGAAUAAAAUUAUAAGACGAGAAGACCCUAUGGAGCUUCAAACUCUCAACAACUAUCUUUUUUUAUAUAACUCUAAAGAAAAUAAUAUUCAUCUAGGUAGUAUGACUGCUAGUUUUUGGUUGGGGUGACCACGGAGUAAAAUCUAACCUCCAUGAUGAACAGGACUGGCUCCUAAACAAAGAAUUACUAUUCAAAGUAUCAAAAAAUUGACGACAUUGACCCAAUAUUUUGAUCAACGAACCAAGUUACCCUAGGGAUAACAGCGCAUCCAUCUAAGAGUUCAUAUCGACAGAUGGGUUUACGACCUCGAUGUUGGAUCAGGGUAUCCCAGUGGUGCAGCCGCUACUAAAGGUUCGUUUGUUCAACGAUUAAAACCCUACGU